Molecule: transfer RNA, 85 nt
Organism: Felis catus (domestic cat)
Lineage: Eukaryota; Metazoa; Chordata; Mammalia; Carnivora; Felidae
Rfam family: tRNA
About the family: Transfer RNA (tRNA) molecules are approximately 80 nucleotides in length. Their secondary structure includes four short double-helical elements and three loops (D, anti-codon, and T loops).
Source: Rfam
GCCUGGGUGGCUCAGUCGGUUAAGCGUCCGACUUUGGCUCAGGUCAUGAACUCACAGUUUGUGAGUUCGAAUCUCCCAUCAGGCU